RNAcentral lists this RNase P RNA (380 nucleotides) under Solimonas marina. RNAcentral describes it as "Bacterial RNase P class A". It matches the Rfam family "Bacterial RNase P class A". Rfam says of the family: Ribonuclease P (RNase P) is a ubiquitous endoribonuclease, found in archaea, bacteria and eukarya as well as chloroplasts and mitochondria. Its best characterised activity is the generation of mature 5'-ends of tRNAs by cleaving the 5'-leader elements of precursor-tRNAs. Lineage: Bacteria; Pseudomonadati; Pseudomonadota; Gammaproteobacteria; Nevskiales; Nevskiaceae. The record is from Rfam by way of RNAcentral.
GGAGUCGGCCGGACAAUCGCUGCCGCGCAUGCGGGGGAGGAAAGUCCGGGCUCCACAGGGCAAGGUGCCAGGUAAUGCCUGGGCGGCGUGAGCCGACGGAAAGUGCAACAGAGAACAGACCGCCGAAGUCUCGCAAGAGGCUGGUAAGGGUGAAACGGUGCGGUAAGAGCGCACCGCGGUUCCGGUAACGGAAACGGCACGGCAAACCCCACCUGGAGCAAGACCAAAUAGGGAAGGGUCCGCUGGCAACGGCGGAACGCGUGGCCCACGCGCCUUCCGGGUAGGUCGCUGCAGUGGCGCAGUGAUGCGUCGCGUAGAGGAAUGAUUGUCGGGGUGCGCAAGCGCCCGCACAGAACCCGGCUUAUAGGCCGACUCCCACC